RNA transcript from Cucumis melo (muskmelon), 1799 nucleotides. RefSeq lists it as uncharacterized. The record is from RefSeq and is a predicted model, not a curated record. The transcript is spliced from 6 exons. NCBI's taxonomy places the organism in Eukaryota, Viridiplantae, Streptophyta, Magnoliopsida, Cucurbitales, Cucurbitaceae.
UAAACUUCCAAGAUUUCUCUCUUGGUUGUUCGUUUGGGGGUCGAAUCUUCGUUUCCUUCAGAGGCGCAGAUUUUGAUCCUUCCGAACAAUAUUGUAGUUCACUGGAAAUGCACGGCCGGCCGCACAAGCCUCAGAAGCCGGAGGAAGAAGGAGCUUCACCGGUGGAAGCUGGAAAGCUUCAAAAUCUACGAUCUCAAUUGCUAGCAAAUCACCACCAAAAGAACUAUGUGAUAAGGAAGCUCUAGAAGUCAGUGCUAGUUUACUGGAAAUGAAUCCGAAUCUAUUUACGGCUCGGAACAACACUACUUGAAGGAAUCUCCAUCAGACAAAAAGUCGAUGGAGCGAUUUUCAACGAGGAACUUAGAGUAGCUGAAAGUGCUAUGCGUCAGGACGUCAAGUCGGCGUGUGGUAUCAUCGAAAAUGGAUUUUGAGCAAGGAGCAUUCGUUCACCGAUCAGGAGUUGCGAACGCCAAGAAUUUUUGUGCAUGGAACUACAGAAGGUUGAUACGCGCUUGCAUUCUUCCGAUUCAAUCCCAGGCUGAUAGCCGCAGUUCACAUGUACAUUUUAAAGGUAACCUGUUAGCGUAUUUCUUUGUCCGUUCAUCAGAUUUGUUGGCAGGGCUAAUGAGCAUACACGAGGAGAAAGAACUGAAGUACACAACAGAUAUGAUAGACAGAAACUUCAACAAUUAUUCCGUCUGGCAAAAUCGCAGAUUGUUAAUGGCACAUGCCGCAUGCAACAUCUCCACACGCCAAUAAAAUGGAUGGUCCAGCUUGAGGAAGUUCUUGACCUUUACCGACCUGUCGAUGUUGGACCCACCACAUGUUCAUUACUACAGGGUUCAACACAUCUUGGUUUUAUUUGCAGAAGGUGAUACAAUUUCUUGCUAUCAAAUAAUACUUCUUUCCCGCUUGUCGCUGGGGAUUAUAAUCAUCGACUUUAACACUUGUUUUAUGUUUAUAUCGUUUUGUGUGCAUAAAUGAGAAAUUUCAUAUUGAAACUCCCCUCAGCCUUUUUAUCCCGUUACGAUGGACAUGUUAUGAUCGAAGAGAGAAUGACAUUCGGGUUUCUUUCACAUGUGACAUCGACUAAGCAGUUUUUGUCAGGACAUCGUUGUUCCUACAAAGAGCAGACAUCACCAUAUAUCGAUAGUACUACUUCCAUCUACGGCUCAAUAAUUUAUCAACUUCAAGGAUCGAAUCUAUACAAAAGAAAAUACCGCUGGGUGCUAAUGCUCGACCUCAACAACAAUGAACUUCGAUUAAUUGAAGGAUUGAAGGCCAUGCAACUCCUCUCUUGCUUGAGUUACUCUGGAGCCUCUCACCAAUUGAUUGGACCGUUCUGGCAAGUUACUGCAAAGCUUAUUUUCUAUUCACAGAUUUAAGCACGAAGCAAUUGGAUAUUGAAACAAACACGAUACCUAGUGAAAGGAUUAAAAGAAUACUUAUCUUGUUAUACCAAAUAUUGAAUGAUUGUAGGUUUAUUAGUGAAGAAUUGAAAUCAGAAAGAAAUGUCAUAUGGAAGGAGAAUUGAGAGGUGGAAGAAAGAUAGCCUAUUGCAAUGAGGUGCUAAGGAACUGAAAAGACCGAGACCAGAAAACAGGGAAGACCAAGGAAAAAUGAUAAUUCAUUCACUUCGCAGACAGACGGGUCCGUGAGAUAUGAAUGAUGCUAGGAAAGGAAAGGAAAGGACUUACUGAUUUUUGUAAUUUAAAAUCCAGUUUUUGUAGAAGAAAAGUCUAUUUCCAUGAUAGAUUUAAUUUUAUCCUAUUUCUAAGCCAGGUGAUCGUUUUUCUAUC